GGAAGUUUCCAUAUAGCUCAGUGGUAGAGCAUCUGCCUUUCAUGCAGAAGGCCCCAGGUUCAAUCCACAGCAGUAUCUCCA
Non-coding RNA from Podarcis lilfordi (Lilford's wall lizard), 81 nucleotides. Lineage: Eukaryota; Metazoa; Chordata; Lepidosauria; Squamata; Lacertidae. The record is from the annotation of a GenBank genome assembly.